RNAcentral lists this ribosomal RNA (253 nucleotides) under uncultured bacterium. RNAcentral's name for it is "partial 16S ribosomal RNA". It matches the Rfam family "Bacterial small subunit ribosomal RNA", at positions 524 to 776 of the family's 1533-position model. The record is from RNAcentral.
UACGGAGGUGGCAAGCGUUGCUCGGAAUCACUGGGCGUAAAGGGCGCGUAGGCGGGGAGGUAAGUCGGGUGUGAAAUCCCUCGGCCCAACCGAGGAACUGCGCCCGAGACUGCUUCUCUCGAGUCCCGGAGAGGAAGAUGGAAUUCCCGGUGUAGCGGUGAAAUGUGUAGAGAUCGGGAGGAACACCGGUGGCGAAGGCGGUCUUCUGGACGGUGACUGACGCUGAGGCGCGAAAGCGUGGGGAGCAAACGGG